This 809-nucleotide ribosomal RNA is filed under the name uncultured archaeon. RNAcentral describes it as "bacterial SSU rRNA". It matches the Rfam family "Archaeal small subunit ribosomal RNA", at positions 85 to 879 of the family's 1478-position model. The record is from RNAcentral.
ACGGCUCAGUAACACGUGGCUAAUCUGCCCUUAGGACGAGAACAACCCCGGGAAACUGGGGCUAAUUCUUGAUAGGUGAAGAACUCUGGAAUGAGUCUUUGCCUAAAUGGAUUCACGUUAUCCUCGUGAAUUUGCCUAAGGAUGAGGCCGCGACCGAUCAGGUUGUUGGCGAGGUAAUGGCUCACCAAGCCUUUUACCGGUGCGGGCCGUGGGAGCGGGAGCCCGGAGAUGGGUACUGAGACAAGGACCCAGGCCCUACGGGGCGCAGCAGUCGCGAAACCUUUGCAAUACACGAAGGUGUGACAGGGCUAUCCCGAGUGCCAUCCGCUGAGGAAGGCUUUUACCCAGUCUAGAACGCUGGGGGAAUAAGGAGAGGGCAAGUCUGGUGUCAGCCGCCGCGGUAAUACCAGCUCUCCGAGUGGUGUGGAUGUUUAUUGGGCCUAAAGCAUCCGUAGCUGGCUAAGUCAGUCCCUUGUUAAAUCCACCGAAUUAAUCGUUGGAUUGCGGGGGAUACUGCUUGGCUAGGGGACGAGAGAGGCAGACGGUAUUUUCGGGGUAGGGGUGAAAUCCUAUAAUCCCGGGAAGACCACCAGUGGCGAAGGCUGUCUGCUAGAACGCGCCCGACGGUGAGGGAUGAAAGCUGGGGGAGCGAACCGGAUUAGAUACCCGGGUAGUCCCAGCUGUAAACGAUGCAGACUAGGUGUUUGGACGGCCACGUGCCGUUCUAGUGCCGCAGGGAAGCUGUUAAGUCUGCCGCCUGGGGAGUACGAUCGCAAGAUUGAAACUUAAAGGAAUUGGCGGGGGAGCAC